UGGCUCGAGGACGAACGCUGGCGGCGUGCCUAACACAUGCAAGUCGAGCGGAGUUGACAAGAGGAAGUUUCGGAUGGAAUCUUGUCAAUUAGCGGCGGACGGGUGAGUAACGCGUGAGCGACCAACCUUGCACAGGGGGAUAACGGACCGAAAGGUUCACUAAUACCGCAUGAGACCACGGUGUUGCAUGACACAGGGGUCAAAGGAGCAAUCCGGUGCAAGACGGGCUCGCGUCCGAUUAGGUAGUUGGAGGGGUAACGGCCCACCAAGCCUAUGAUCGGUAGCCGACCUGAGAGGGUGAUCGGCCACAUUGGAACUGAGAUACGGUCCAAACUCCUACGGGAGGCAGCAGUGGGGAAUAUUGGGCAAAUGGGGGAAACCCUGACCCAGCAACGCCGCGUGAAGGAAGAAGGUUUUCGGAUUGUAAACUUCUGUCCUUGGUGAAGAGAAGAAGACGGUAGCCAAGGAGGAAGCCCCGGCUAACUACGUGCCAGCCGCAGC
Molecule: ribosomal RNA, 501 nt
Filed under: uncultured bacterium
Lineage: Bacteria
Description: bacterial SSU rRNA
Rfam family: Bacterial small subunit ribosomal RNA
Source: RNAcentral